RNAcentral lists this ribosomal RNA (440 nucleotides) under uncultured bacterium. Its description in RNAcentral is "partial 16S ribosomal RNA". It matches the Rfam family "Bacterial small subunit ribosomal RNA", at positions 338 to 795 of the family's 1533-position model. The record is from RNAcentral.
CCUACGGGGCGCUGCAGUGGGGAAUAUUGCACAAUGGGGGAAACCCUGAUGCAGCGACGCCGCGUGAGUGAAGAAGUAUUUCGGUACGUAAAGCUCUAUCAGCAGGGAAGAAAAUGACGGUACCUGACUAAGAAGCCCCGGCUAACUACGUGCCAGCAGCCGCGGUAAUACGUAGGGGGCAAGCGUUAUCCGGAUUUACUGGGGGUAAAGGGAGCGUAGACGGCAGCGCAAGUCUGGAGUGAAAUCCCAUGGCUUAACCAUGGAACUGCUUUGGAAACUGUGCAGCUAGAGUGCAGGAGAGGUAAGCGGAAUGCCUAGUGUAGCGGUGAAAUGCGUAGAUAUUAGGAGGAACACCAGUGGCGAAGGCGGCUUACUGGACUGUAACUGACGUUGAGGCUCGAAAGCGUGGGGAGCAAACAGGAUUAGAUACCCUUGUAGUC